GUGGGGAAUAUUGGACAAUGGGCGAAAGCCUGAUCCAGCCAUGCCGCGUGUGUGAAGAAGGUCUUCGGAUUGUAAAGCACUUUAAGUUGGGAGGAAGGGCAGUAAGUUAAUACCUUGCUGUUUUGACGUUACCGACAGAAUAAGCACCGGCUAACUUCGUGCCAGCAGCCGCGGUAAUACGAAGGGUGCAAGCGUUAAUCGGAAUUACUGGGCGUAAAGCGCGCGUAGGUGGUUUUGUAAGUUGGAGGUGAAAUCCCCGGGCUCAACCUGGGAACUGCAUUUGUGACUGCAUAGCUAGAGUACGGCAGAGGGGGAUGGAAUUUCCUGUGUAGCGGUGAAAUGCGUAGAUAUAGGAAGGAACACCAGUGGCGAAGGCGACUACCUGGACUGAUACUGACACUGAGGUGCGAAAGCGUGGGGAGCAAACAGGAUUAGAAACCCCUGUAGUCC
RNAcentral lists this ribosomal RNA (450 nucleotides) under uncultured bacterium. RNAcentral describes it as "partial 16S ribosomal RNA". It matches the Rfam family "Bacterial small subunit ribosomal RNA", at positions 354 to 796 of the family's 1533-position model. The record is from RNAcentral.